UUCGUGCCCGUUAGCAUCGCCAGCAUGGUUGCUGCUAAUCUCGCGUACAUUGCUAAUACUCUAUUCACACACAUUACCAUUGUUUUACUCACUGUUACUUGCUUUAAUGGCGUAUGUGUGUCAACCUUUGAGUGCAGGUGAGAACACAUUCGGGCUGCAUUCUGGAGGCCUUGGAGAAGCAGAUUCGUGACCUGGUGGAGAGACAGGGCCAGCUGAGAGAGCGGGGAGCCGUGCUGGAAACCUCCCAGGCUGACACUCACAAGUCCGGGGCAUGGUGCACCCAGGACGCGAUCUUCCCAGAUGUCCUUCUCUCCGACACCACAGACCCUGGGGGCACCCGCAUCGGAAGACGCGAGCCAGGCCCCGGACGAUGACCUCUCCCCCUCCACCAUGUCCAGUCUUCGAGAUCUCCACCCGGAACCACUUCACUCACCAGCCUAAGCGAGACGGUGCACAGCACAUUGCUCAUGACGAUGAUCAUCGUGUCAGAACCGCUUCCCAUGUAUCGACGAGGAUAUGAAAGGUUCAGUAGACUUUUUGCUUUAAAUGAAUGGUUAUUGUCAUGGCGUAAAGAACAGAAACUGCUCUUUGUUAAUAACUGGAAUCUUUUCUGGGAGCGUCCUAGGCUCUUUCACACUGAUAGCCUGCACCCCAGCAGAGUUGGAGCAGAACUCCUUUCUGACAAUAUCUCCAGGACACUGCGCUCCAUAUGACUA
Long non-coding RNA from Cyprinus carpio carpio, 716 nucleotides. The record is from Ensembl. NCBI's taxonomy places the organism in Eukaryota, Metazoa, Chordata, Actinopteri, Cypriniformes, Cyprinidae.